This 468-nucleotide ribosomal RNA is filed under the name uncultured bacterium. RNAcentral's name for it is "partial 16S ribosomal RNA". It matches the Rfam family "Bacterial small subunit ribosomal RNA", at positions 28 to 507 of the family's 1533-position model. The record is from RNAcentral.
GACGAACGCUGGCGGCGUGCUUAACACAUGCAAGUCGAACGGAAAGGCCCUGCUUUUGUGGGGUGCUCGAGUGGCGAAAGGGUGAGUAACACGUGAGUAACCUGCCCUUGACUUUGGGAUAACUUCAGGAAACUGGGGCUAAUACCGGAUAGGAGCUCCUGCUGCAUGGUGGGGGUUGGAAAGUUUCGGCGGUUGGGGAUGGACUCGCGGCUUAUCAGCCUGUUGGUGGGGUAGUGGCUUACCAAGGCGUUGACGGGUAGCCGGCCUGAGAGGGUGACCGGCCACAUUGGGACGGAGAUACGGCCCAGACUCCUACGGGAGGCAGCAGUGGGGAAUAUUGCACAAUGGGCGGAAGCCUGAUGCAGCAACGCCGCGUGCGGGAUGACGGCCUUCGGUUUGUAAACCGCAUUCGCCUGUGACGAAGCGUGAGUGACGGUAAUGGGUAAAGAAGCACCGGCUAACUACGUG